CUUUAGGGCACAUUUAUUGGAACCAGCAGAACAACACAGCUUUUUUUUUUUGUUUGUUGUGUUGUUCUGCUGGUUCCAAUAAAUGUGCCCUAAAG
This is a non-coding RNA of Pelobates cultripes (western spadefoot toad), 95 nucleotides long. The record is from the annotation of a GenBank genome assembly. Lineage: Eukaryota; Metazoa; Chordata; Amphibia; Anura; Pelobatidae.